This 84-nucleotide transfer RNA is filed under the name Candidatus Blochmanniella vafra str. BVAF. RNAcentral's name for it is "tRNA-Leu (CAA) (tRNA-Leu-CAA-1-1)". It matches the Rfam family "tRNA". From Rfam's summary of the family: Transfer RNA (tRNA) molecules are approximately 80 nucleotides in length. Their secondary structure includes four short double-helical elements and three loops (D, anti-codon, and T loops). Further hydrogen bonds mediate the characteristic L-shaped molecular structure. tRNAs have two regions of fundamental functional importance: the anti-codon, which is responsible for specific mRNA codon recognition, and the 3' end, to which the tRNAs corresponding amino acid is attached (by aminoacyl-tRNA synthetases). tRNAs cope with the degeneracy of the genetic code in two manners: having more than one tRNA (with a specific anti-codon) for a particular amino acid; and 'wobble' base-pairing, i.e. permitting non-standard base-pairing at the 3rd anti-codon position. The record is from RNAcentral. Lineage: Bacteria; Pseudomonadati; Pseudomonadota; Gammaproteobacteria; Enterobacterales; Enterobacteriaceae.
GCCGAAGUGGCGAAAUAGGUAGACGCAAUUGACUCAAAAUCAAUCACUGUAAUAGGUAUGUCGGUUCGACUCCGACCUUCGGCA